Molecule: ribosomal RNA, 210 nt
Filed under: Triticum aestivum (bread wheat)
Lineage: Eukaryota; Viridiplantae; Streptophyta; Magnoliopsida; Poales; Poaceae
Description: partial small subunit ribosomal RNA
Source: RNAcentral
AUGACAAUUAACAAGGCGCAGGGUCAGACUAUCCCAAACAUCGGUAUUUACCUUCCCGAGCCAGUAUUCUCACAUGGUCAGCUAUAUGUUGCAUUGUCAAGGGGAGUGUCCAGAGAGACGACGCGGAUUUUGGCCAAGCCAAACAACGAGGUUGAUAUUUCUGGGAAAAGCACCAAGAACAUUGUCUACAGAGAUGUUUUGGGGAGAUGA